This 489-nucleotide ribosomal RNA is filed under the name uncultured bacterium. RNAcentral's name for it is "partial 16S ribosomal RNA". It matches the Rfam family "Bacterial small subunit ribosomal RNA", at positions 30 to 506 of the family's 1533-position model. The record is from RNAcentral.
AUUGAACGCUGGCGGCAGGCCUAACACAUGCCAGUCGAACGGUAACAGGAAGAAGCUUGCUUCUUUGCUGACGAGUGGCGGACGGGUGAGUAAUGUCUGGGAAACUGCCUGAUGGAGGGGGAUAACUACUGGAAACGGUAGCUAAUACCGCAUAAUGUCGCAAGACCAAAGAGGGGGACCUUCGGGCCUCUUGCCAUCGGAUGUGCCCAGAUGGGAUUAGCUAGUAGGUGGGGUAACGGCUCACCUAGGCGACGAUCCCUAGCUGGUCUGAGAGGAUGACCAGCCACACUGGAACUGAGACACGGUCCAGACUCCUACGGGAGGCAGCAGUGGGGAAUAUUGCACAAUGGGCGCAAGCCUGAUGCAGCUAUGCCGCGUGUAUGAAGAAGGCCUUCGGGUUGUAAAGUACUUUCAGCGGGGAGGAAGGGAGUAAAGUUAAUACCUUUGCUCAUUGACGUUACCCGCAGAAGAAGCACCGGCUAACUCCGU